GGCGGCGUGCCUAACACAUGCAAGUCGAACGAGAAAGGGACUUCGGUCCCGAGUACAGUGGCGCACGGGUGAGUAACACGUGACUAACCUACCCUGGAGUGGGGAAUAACUGAGGGAAACCUUAGCUAAUACCGCAUAAUACCUACGGGUCAAAGGAGCAAUUCGCUUCAGGAGGGGGUCGCGGCCGAUUAGUUAGUUGGCGGGGUAAUGGCCCACCAAGACAAUGAUCGGUAUCCGGCCUGAGAGGGCGCACGGACACACUGGAACUGAAACACGGUCCAGACUCCUACGGGAGGCAGCAGUGGGGAAUUUUGCGCAAUGGGGGGAAACCCUGACGCAGCAACGCCGCGUGGAGGAUGAAAUCCCUUGGGAUGUAAACUCCUUUCGAUCGGGACGAUUAUGACGGUACCGGAAGAAGAAGCCCCGGCUAACUUCGUGCCAGCAGCCGCGGUAAUACGAAGGGGGCAAGCGUUGUUCGGAAUUAUUGGGCGUAAAGGGUGUGUAGGCGGUUUUGU
RNAcentral lists this ribosomal RNA (515 nucleotides) under uncultured Acidobacteriota bacterium. Its description in RNAcentral is "bacterial SSU rRNA". It matches the Rfam family "Bacterial small subunit ribosomal RNA", at positions 38 to 584 of the family's 1533-position model. The record is from RNAcentral. Lineage: Bacteria; Pseudomonadati; Acidobacteriota.